RNAcentral lists this ribosomal RNA (393 nucleotides) under uncultured eukaryote. Its description in RNAcentral is "partial 18S ribosomal RNA". It matches the Rfam family "Eukaryotic small subunit ribosomal RNA", at positions 592 to 976 of the family's 1831-position model. The record is from RNAcentral.
CAAUAGCGUAUAUUAAAGUUGUUGCAGUUAAAAAGCUCGUAGUUGGAUUUCUGUUUUGGAUGUCCGGUCCGCUCCCUCUGGGAGUGCGUACUUAUGGAUGUUCGAGGCAUUUUUUGUGAGGUCGCUUUUCUGCCAUUAAGUUGGUGGUUUUGCGGGCUUGCAUCGUUUACUGUGAAAAAAUUAGAGUGUUUAAAGCAGGCGUUUGCUCAUUUGAAUACAUUAGCAUGGAAUAAUAAGAUACGGCCUUGGUGGUCUAUUUUGUUGGUUUGCACACCAGGGUAAUGAUUAAUAGGGACAGUUGGGGGUAUUCAUAUUUCAGCGUCAGAGGUGGAAUUCUUGGAUCGCUGAAAGAUGAGCUUAGGCGAAAGCAUUUACCAAGGAUGUUUUCAUUAA